CGUAUGAUCAGUGAGAGCCUGAAAUGAAAUGGGGAUGCUUUUAUCACUCUGUGGGUCUCUCUAUUCAGUGCAGGCUCUGUGGAUCCUGUGUGAAUCUGUCCAUCACCUUGAAUGUCUGGCGAUCUUGACACCACGCUUCAUGGCCAGGCUGGACCCUCUACUAACCGCUGAGGUUUCACUGCUUGCUUCUGACCUCAGAGGACCUCUUCAUGCCAUCCAGACACCUUCACCUCCAUUGCGAAUUCCUGAUAUGCUGAUUUUCGUGGUUUCUUCCUCUACCUGUACAUCCCUCCACACAUCCUACCUCUGAUCCAGUGUCUAUAUACCUACCAUCCUUUUGUACAGAGACUCCAGAGUCAGAAAUGCUAUCAGCUGCCUGUAAAGCUGGUGGGCUUACAGUGUGUGCGUGUGCGUGUGCGUGUGCGUGUGCGUGUGCGUGUGCGUGUGCGUGUGUGUGUGUGUGUGUGUGUGUAAAGAGAUCAAGGGAUCGAGAGACUUGCCCAAGGUUGCAUAAUGUACGAGUGAGGAAAUGAGUCACAUCUCCUCACGGCACUCCAUGUAGAGUGAACAUCUCUGUUAUAUUAAUUUGAAUAUGAAUUUGAAUUUGAAUAUGAAUGUUAUAUAAUUUGAAUAUGCUUGGCCCAUGGGAAGUGCUACUAUUAGGAGGUGUGGCCUAGUUGGAGGAAGUGCAUCACUGGGGGGCAAGAGCAGGAGGAUGGGGCGGGGAGGCUUUGAGAUCCUCUGCUUAAGCUCUGCCCAGGGAAGAAAGUCUCUUGGCUGCCUUUGGAUCAAGAUGUAGAACUCUCUUGGCUCCUCCAGCGCCAUGGCUGCCUGGAAGCUGCCAUGAUGUCAAUGGACUGACCCUUUAAACUGUAAGCCAACCCCAAUUAAAUGUCUUUCUUUAUAUGAGUUGCCUUAGUUAUGA
This 925-nucleotide long non-coding RNA is filed under the name Mus musculus (house mouse). Its description in RNAcentral is "long non-coding RNA chr9:120871636-120872561". The record is from RNAcentral. Lineage: Eukaryota; Metazoa; Chordata; Mammalia; Rodentia; Muridae.